RNAcentral lists this ribosomal RNA (402 nucleotides) under uncultured bacterium. Its description in RNAcentral is "bacterial SSU rRNA". It matches the Rfam family "Bacterial small subunit ribosomal RNA", at positions 355 to 774 of the family's 1533-position model. The record is from RNAcentral.
UCGGGAAUUUUGGGCAAUGGGCGAAAGCCUGACCCAGCAACGCCGCGUGAGGGAUGAAGUAUUUCGGUAUGUAAACCUCGAAAGAAUGGGAAGAAUAAAUGACGGUACCAUUUAUAAGCUCCGGCUAACUACGUGCCAGCAGCCGCGGUAAUACGUAGGGAGCAAGCGUUGUUCGGAUUUACUGGGCGUAAAGGGCGCGUAGGCGGCGCGGUAAGUCACUUGUGAAAUCUCUGAGCUUAACUCAGAACGGCCAAGUGAUACUGCUGUGCUAGAGUGCGGAAGAGGCAACCGGAAUUCUUGGUGUAGCGGUGAAAUGCGUAGAUAUCAAGAGGAACACCUGAGGCGAAGGCGGGUUGCUGGGCCGACACUGACGCUGAUGAGCGAAAGCAUGGGGAGCGAACA